This 520-nucleotide ribosomal RNA is filed under the name uncultured Glomus. Its description in RNAcentral is "SSU rRNA". It matches the Rfam family "Eukaryotic small subunit ribosomal RNA", at positions 569 to 1091 of the family's 1831-position model. Lineage: Eukaryota; Fungi; Glomeromycota; Glomeromycetes; Glomerales; Glomeraceae. The record is from RNAcentral.
AGCAGCCGCGGUAAUUCCAGCUCCAAUAGCGUAUAUUAAAGUUGUUGCAGUUAAAAAGCUCGUAGUUGAAUUUCGGGAUCAAUAUGUCGGUCGUGCCUUCGGUACGUACUGGUAUCAUUGGUCUCUCCUUUCUGACGAACCAUGAUGUCAUUAAUUUGGUGUUAUGGGGAGUUAGGACUGUUACUUUGAAAAAUUAGAGUGUUUAAAGCAGGCUUUAGCUUGAAUACAUUAGCAUGGAAUAAUGAAAUAGGACGUUCGAACCUAUUUUGUUGGUUUCUAGGAUCAACGUAAUGAUUAAUAGGGAUAGUUGGGGGCAUUAGUAUUCAAUUGUCAGAGGUGAAAUUCUUGGAUUUUAUUGAAGACUAACUACUGCGAAAGCAUUUGCCAAGGAUGUUUUCAUUAAUCAAGAACGAAAGUUAGGGGAUCGAAGACGAUCAGAUACCGUCGUAGUCUUAACCAUAAACUAUGCCGACUAGGGAUCGGAUGAUGUUAAUUUUUAAUGACUCAUUCGGCGCCUUAC